This 72-nucleotide transfer RNA is filed under the name Marmota monax (woodchuck). RNAcentral describes it as "tRNA.Thr". Lineage: Eukaryota; Metazoa; Chordata; Mammalia; Rodentia; Sciuridae. The record is from RNAcentral.
UGUGAUAGCGCUUAGUGGUACAGUACAUGCGUAGUAUGCAUGAGGUCCUGGGUUAGAUCCCUAGCACCCCAA